RNAcentral lists this small nuclear RNA (99 nucleotides) under Otolemur garnettii (small-eared galago). Its description in RNAcentral is "U2 spliceosomal RNA". It matches the Rfam family "U2 spliceosomal RNA". From Rfam's summary of the family: U2 is a small nuclear RNA (snRNA) component of the spliceosome (involved in pre-mRNA splicing). Complementary binding between U2 snRNA (in an area lying towards the 5' end but 3' to hairpin I) and the branchpoint sequence (BPS) of the intron results the bulging out of an unpaired adenosine, on the BPS, which initiates a nucleophilic attack at the intronic 5' splice site, thus starting the first of two transesterification reactions that mediate splicing. The record is from Rfam by way of RNAcentral. Lineage: Eukaryota; Metazoa; Chordata; Mammalia; Primates; Galagidae.
AUCUCUUCUUGGCCUUUGGCUAAGAUCAAGUAUAAUAUCUGUUCUUAUCAAUCUAAUGUACAUUGUACCCGUUAAGUAAUUCCUCAUUGUCCACCCUGC